AGAACGAACGCUGGCGGCAUGCCUAACACAUGCAAGUCGAACGCUCUUGGGGCUUCGGUUCCAAGGGAGUGGCGCACGGGUGAGUAGCGCGUGGGAACCUGCCCUGGAGUGGGGGAUAACCGAGGGAAACUUCGGCUAAUACCGCAUGCGCCCGGGAAACCGGGGAAAGAUUUAUCGCUCUAGGAGGGGCCCGCGUCGGAUUAGCUAGUUGGUGGGGUAACGGCCUACCAAGGCUUUGAUCCGUAGCUGGUCUGAGAGGAUGAUCAGCCACACUGGGACUGAGACACGGCCCAGACUCCUACGGGAGGCAGCAGUGGGGAAUAUUGGACAAUGGGCGCAAGCCUGAUCCAGCAAUGCCGCGUGAGUGAUGAAGGCCUUCGGGUUGUAAAGCUCUUUCGCACGCGAGGAUGAUGACGCUAGCGUGAGAAGAAGCCCGGCUAACUUCGUGCCAGCAGCCGC
RNAcentral lists this ribosomal RNA (459 nucleotides) under uncultured bacterium. RNAcentral's name for it is "SSU rRNA". It matches the Rfam family "Bacterial small subunit ribosomal RNA", at positions 26 to 518 of the family's 1533-position model. The record is from RNAcentral.